UACGUAGGGGGCAAGCGUUGUCCGGAUUUAUUGGGCGUAAAGAGCUCGUAGGUGGUUCGGUAAGUCGGAUGUGAAAUCUCCAGGCUCAACCUGGAGGGGUCAUUCGAUACUGCCGUGACUAGAGGUCGGUAGGGGAGUGUGGAAUUCCUGGUGGAGCGGUGAAAUGCGCAGAUAUCAGGAAGAACACCGGUGGCGAAGGCGGCUCUCUGGGCCUUACCUGACGCUGAGGAGCGAAAGCGUGGGUAGCGAACAGG
RNAcentral lists this ribosomal RNA (254 nucleotides) under uncultured bacterium. RNAcentral's name for it is "partial 16S ribosomal RNA". It matches the Rfam family "Bacterial small subunit ribosomal RNA", at positions 524 to 776 of the family's 1533-position model. The record is from RNAcentral.